Molecule: long non-coding RNA, 281 nt
Filed under: Trifolium pratense (red clover)
Lineage: Eukaryota; Viridiplantae; Streptophyta; Magnoliopsida; Fabales; Fabaceae
Description: long non-coding RNA (TPRA_LNC012113)
Source: RNAcentral
UUUGGACUUGGCAGCAGCAGGUUUGGGUUUAGCAACAGUAGUUUUGGUUUUGACAGCAGCAGUUUUGGGCUUGGAAGCAGCCUUUGGCUUAACAACAGUUUUAGCCUUUGACUUAGAGGCACUUNGGAAGUUUGAAUGAACCUUUAACCUUAACAAGUUUACCAGAAGCAACAUUCUUCUUCAAAUUCUGAAGCAAUAGCUUCUUGAAAUUUGAAGGAAGUUGUUGUUUGUGUUUCUCUUCAAUGAAUUUCGCAAUUGCGUAUUGGCUUGAACCUGUUCUC